RNAcentral lists this ribosomal RNA (253 nucleotides) under uncultured bacterium. Its description in RNAcentral is "partial 16S ribosomal RNA". It matches the Rfam family "Bacterial small subunit ribosomal RNA", at positions 524 to 776 of the family's 1533-position model. The record is from RNAcentral.
UACGUAGGGGGCAAGCGUUGUCCGGAAUCAUUGGGCGUAAAGAGCGUGUAGGCGGUCCGGUCAGUCGGUUGUGAAAGUCAAGGGCUCAACCCUUGAAUGCCGGCCGAUACUGCCGGGCUAGAGUCCGGAAGAGGUGAGUGGAAUUCCUGGUGUAGCGGUGAAAUGCGCAGAUAUCAGGAGGAACACCGAUGGCGAAGGCAGGUCUCUGGGCCACUACUGACGCUGAGAAGCGAAAGCAUGGGGAGCGAACAGG